GGCAGUAGAGCUCAUUGGUAGAGCACGGGCUUGGCGUACAAGAGGUCCUGGGUUCAAUCCCCAGUGCCUCCG
This 72-nucleotide transfer RNA is filed under the name Camelus bactrianus (Bactrian camel). It matches the Rfam family "tRNA". Rfam says of the family: Transfer RNA (tRNA) molecules are approximately 80 nucleotides in length. The record is from Rfam by way of RNAcentral. RNAcentral also lists the same sequence under 2 other names. Lineage: Eukaryota; Metazoa; Chordata; Mammalia; Artiodactyla; Camelidae.